This 385-nucleotide unclassified non-coding RNA is filed under the name uncultured Glomeromycotina. Its description in RNAcentral is "sequence contains 28S rRNA gene". Lineage: Eukaryota; Fungi; Glomeromycota. The record is from RNAcentral.
AAAAGAGAGCAGUACGUGAAAUUGUUGGAAGGGAAACGAUUGAAGUCAGUCAUACUGACGGGGAAUCAACCUCUUGGGGGUGAAUUCGCGAGAGCGACAUUUGCGCUUUUUUGGUGCACUUUCUCGUAUUGUAGGUUAGCAUCGGUUUUGAUCGUUAUAAAAUGAUCGGAGGAAUGUAGCUUCGAUCUCGUAUUGAAGUGUUAUAGCCUUUGGUAGAUGUAACGGUGGAGACCGAGGAUUGCAACGGAUACCCUCACGGGCUAUUCGCCUGGCCUCUGAUACGUGACUCUGGCGUCGAAAGCUUGCUUACGAUGUCGAAGUGUGCGGUCAAUAGGUUAGAACGGAUUAAAUUCGUUAAGGAUGCUGACGUAAUGGCUUUAAACGA